GAUUAGAGGAAAAGUUAGGGUUUACCGAAAUAGGUGGGGGUGUAACCUCCGGCUUAAAAGAAGGAGUAGUUAUCUGUCGUCGCCGAGAGGGUCCAGUGGAUUUAUGCAGAGGGACUGAAAGUGGACUUGUUAAAAGACGAAGAAUCCACAUACUCUGUCUCUGAAGACACAACCUUCUUCUGUUUCUUUUUCUAGCGAGAUGGUCCGGCAGUAGAGUGUGGAGGAACUGCUGUCUGUUCAUCAUCAGAAUCGAUAAACGAUCACUUGUUCGUACAUGUUCUCAUGGUGAUGAAAGAGUUCAGUUGUAGAACAAAUGAGGCAUAAGAUGAAAGAGUAAAAAUCAG
This 344-nucleotide long non-coding RNA is filed under the name Panax ginseng (ginseng). Its description in RNAcentral is "long non-coding RNA (PGIN_LNC006308)". The record is from RNAcentral. Lineage: Eukaryota; Viridiplantae; Streptophyta; Magnoliopsida; Apiales; Araliaceae.